GGGGGAUUAGCUCAGUUGGUAGAGCGCCUGCUUUGCACGCAGGAGGUCAGGAGUUCGAAUCUCCUAUCCUCCACCA
Molecule: transfer RNA, 76 nt
Filed under: Alphaproteobacteria bacterium
Lineage: Bacteria; Pseudomonadati; Pseudomonadota; Alphaproteobacteria
Description: tRNA-Ala
Rfam family: tRNA
About the family: Transfer RNA (tRNA) molecules are approximately 80 nucleotides in length. Their secondary structure includes four short double-helical elements and three loops (D, anti-codon, and T loops).
Source: RNAcentral